AGAGUUUGAUCAUGGCUCAGAUUGAACGCUGGCGGCAGGCCUAACACAUGCAAGUCGAGCGGCAGCGGGAGGAAGCUUGCUUCCUCGCCGGCGAGCGGCGGACGGGUGAGUAAUGUCUGGGGAUCUGCCCGAUGGAGGGGGAUAACCACUGGAAACGGUGGCUAAUACCGCAUAACGUCGCAAGACCAAAGUGGGGGACCUUCGGGCCUCACACCAUCGGAUGAACCCAGAUGGGAUUAGCUAGUAGGUGGGGUAAUGGCUCACCUAGGCGACGAUCCCUAGCUGGUCUGAGAGGAUGACCAGCCACACUGGAACUGAGACACGGUCCAGACUCCUACGGGAGGCAGCAGUGGGGAAUAUUGCACAAUGGGCGCAAGCCUGAUGCAGCCAUGCCGCGUGUGUGAAGAAGGCCUUCGGGUUGUAAAGCACUUUCAGCGAGGAGGAAGGUGGUGANUCAUCAAUUGACGUUACUCGCAGAAGAAGCACCGGCUAACUCCGUGCCAGCAGCCGCGGUAAUACGGAGGGUGCAAGCGUUAAUCGGAAUUACUGGGCGUAAAGCGCACGCAGGCGGUUUGUUAAGUCAGAUGUGAAAUCCCCGAGCUUAACUUGGGAACUGCAUUUGAAACUGGCAAGCUAGAGUCUCGUAGAGGGGGGUAGAAUUCCAGGUGUAGCGGUGAAAUGCGUAGAGAUCUGGAGGAAUACCGGUGGCGAAGGCGGCCCCCUGGACGAAGACUGACGCUCAGGUGCGAAAGCGUGGGGAGCAAACAGGAUUAGAUACCCUGGUAGUCCACGCCGUAAACGAUGUCGAUUUGGAGGUUGUGCCCUUGAGGCGUGGCUUCCGGAGCUAACGCGUUAAAUCGACCGCCUGGGGAGUACGGCCGCAAGGUUAAAACUCAAAUGAAUUGACGGGGGCCCGCACAAGCGGUGGAGCAUGUGGUUUAAUUCGAUGCAACGCGAAGAACCUUACCUACUCUUGACAUCCAGAGAACUUNGGCAAGCGGACCUCAUAAAGUACGUCGUAGUCCGGAUUGGAGUCUGCAACUCGACUCCAUGAAGUCGGAAUCGCUAGUAAUCGUAGAUCAGAAUGCUACGGUGAAUACGUUCCCGGGCCUUGUACACACCGCCCGUCACACCAUGGGAGUGGGUUGCAAAAGAAGUAGGUAGCUUAACCUUCGGGAGGGCGCUUACCACUUUGUGAUUCAUGACUGGGGUGAAGUCGUAACAAGGUAACCGUAGGGGAACCUGCGGUUGGAUCACCUCCUUACCUAAAGAUAUCCUGACUGUGCAGUGUCCACACAGAUUGUCUGAUGAAAAAGUAACGAGCAGAAAUACCUUUAUAGGCUUGUAGCUCAGGUGGUUAGAGCGCACCCCUGAUAAGGGUGAGGUCGGUGGUUCAAGUCCACUCAGGCCUACCAAAUUCUUCCUUAUGCUGCGUUAUGCUCCCGGUCGUUUACCGACGUAAACUUCCCGGUCGCAUGCCUUGCCUAAGAAAGAAUUAACUCUUUGCGAGUUGGUAAUAACAAAGGUAUUGCACGCGAUUAUAUGGGGCUAUAGCUCAGCUGGGAGAGCGCCUGCCUUGCACGCAGGAGGUCAGCGGUUCGAUCCCGCUUAGCUCCACCAUAUAAGUCCGAAUAUCAAUACUUCAGAGUAUAUUGGCNGGCAAGCGGACCUCAUAAAGUACGUCGUAGUCCGGAUUGGAGUCUGCAACUCGACUCCAUGAAGUCGGAAUCGCUAGUAAUCGUAGAUCAGAAUGCUACGGUGAAUACGUUCCCGGGCCUUGUACACACCGCCCGUCACACCAUGGGAGUGGGUUGCAAAAGAAGUAGGUAGCUUAACCUUCGGGAGGGCGCUUACCACUUUGUGAUUCAUGACUGGGGUGAAGUCGUAACAAGGUAACCGUAGGGGAACCUGCGGUUGGAUCACCU
RNAcentral lists this transfer RNA (1925 nucleotides) under Serratia rubidaea. RNAcentral describes it as "bacterial SSU rRNA". The stretch from base 1 to 1264 matches the Rfam family "Bacterial small subunit ribosomal RNA". The record is from RNAcentral. Lineage: Bacteria; Pseudomonadati; Pseudomonadota; Gammaproteobacteria; Enterobacterales; Yersiniaceae.